Molecule: unclassified non-coding RNA, 237 nt
Filed under: Bacidia scopulicola
Lineage: Eukaryota; Fungi; Ascomycota; Lecanoromycetes; Lecanorales; Ramalinaceae
Description: partial contains 5.8S ribosomal RNA, internal transcribed spacer 2, and large subunit ribosomal RNA
Source: RNAcentral
CGCACAUUGCGCCCCCUGGUAUUCCGGGGGGCAUGCCUGUCCGAGCGUCAUUGCAACCCUCAAGCCUGGCUUGGUAUUGGGCGUCGCCUUUGACGAGGCGUGCCUGAAAAACAGUGGGUGUGUCCGGUGUGACUUUGGGCGUAGUAAAUUUUCUCCCGCUCUGAAAGCCUCCCCGUGGCGCCCAGAACUCUCCAAUGAAUUGACCUCGGAUCAGGUAGGGAUACCCGCUGAACUUAA